Molecule: ribosomal RNA, 301 nt
Filed under: uncultured bacterium
Lineage: Bacteria
Description: partial 16S ribosomal RNA
Rfam family: Bacterial small subunit ribosomal RNA
Source: RNAcentral
CAGUCGCCGCGGGAACACGGAGGGUGCAAGCGUUAAUCGGAAUUACUGGCCGUAAAGCGUGCGUAGGCGGUUCGUUAAGUCUGUUGUGAAAGCCCCGGGCUCAACCUGGGAAUGGCAAUGGAUACUGGCGAGCUAGAGUGUGUCAGAGGAUGGUGGAAUUCCCGGUGUAGCGGUGAAAUGCGUAGAGAUCGGGAGGAACAUCAGUGGCGAAGGCGGCCAUCUGGGACAACACUGACGCUGAGGCACGAAAGCGUGGGGAGCAAACAGGAUUAGAUACCCGCGUAGUCCCUGUCUCUUAUAU